This 469-nucleotide ribosomal RNA is filed under the name uncultured bacterium. Its description in RNAcentral is "bacterial SSU rRNA". It matches the Rfam family "Bacterial small subunit ribosomal RNA", at positions 335 to 796 of the family's 1533-position model. The record is from RNAcentral.
ACUCCUACGGGAGGCAGCAGUGGGGAAUAUUGGACAAUGGGCGCAAGCCUGAUCCAGCAAUGCCGCGUGUGUGAAGAAGGCCUUCGGGUUGUAAAGCACUUUUAUCAGGAGCGAAACGCUGUCGGCUAAUACCCGGCGGAACUGACGGUACCUGAGGAAUAAGCACCGGCUAACUUCGUGCCAGCAGCCGCGGUAAUACGAAGGGUGCAAGCGUUAAUCGGAAUUACUGGGCGUAAAGCGUGCGUAGGCGGUCUUUUAAGUCUGCUGUGAAAUCCCCGGGCUCAACCUGGGAAUGGCAGUGGAUACUGGAAGGCUAGAGUGUGAUAGAGGAUGGUGGAAUUCCCGGUGUAGCGGUGAAAUGCGUAGAGAUCGGGAGGAACAUCAGUGGCGAAGGCGGCCAUCUGGAUCAACACUGACGCUGAGGCACGAAAGCGUGGGGAGCAAACAGGAUUAGAAACCCCAGUAGUCC